UAGGGAAUCUUCCGCAAUGGACGCAAGUCUGACGGAGCAACGCCGCGUGAGUGAAGAAGGAUUUCGGUUCGUAAAACUCUGUUGUUAGAGAAGAACAGCGCAUAGAGUAACUGUUAUGCGUGUGACGGUAUCUAACCAGAAAGCCACGGCUAACUACGUGCCAGCAGCCGCAGUAAUACGUAGGUGGCAAGCGUUGUCCGGAUUUAUUGGGCGUAAAGCGAGCGCAGGCGGUCAAUUAAGUCUGAUGUGAAAGCCCCCGGCUCAACCGGGGAGGGUCAUUAGAAACUGGUUGACUUGAGUGCAGAAGAGGAGAGUGGAAUUCCAUGUGUAGCGGUGAAAUGCGUAGAUAUAUGGAGGAACACCAGUGGCGAAGGCGACUCUCUGGUCUGUAUCUGACGCUGAGGUUCGAAAGCGUGUGUAGCAAACAGG
Molecule: ribosomal RNA, 429 nt
Filed under: Bacteroidota bacterium
Lineage: Bacteria; Pseudomonadati; Bacteroidota
Description: Bacteroidetes bacterium partial 16S ribosomal RNA
Rfam family: Bacterial small subunit ribosomal RNA
Source: RNAcentral